This 212-nucleotide long non-coding RNA is filed under the name Carica papaya (papaya). RNAcentral's name for it is "long non-coding RNA (CPAP_LNC016348)". The record is from RNAcentral. Lineage: Eukaryota; Viridiplantae; Streptophyta; Magnoliopsida; Brassicales; Caricaceae.
UAUGGUGUCUGGUGGUUUAAAAACUUUGGACCAUGGUCUAUAGCAUGCUUUGUAUUAGUUGGGUCCUGUUGGCUCAGUGAGAGAUGAAAUUUGGGCUUGCAAGGGCUAGGGGUGCAAGAGGAAUCAAGCGGAAGUUAUUUCACUUAACAUUUUCUGGGUUAGGUGGAAGAAGAGGAACAAAAGGGUUUAUUAGGGGGUAGAUGAUGUUGAUU